Molecule: long non-coding RNA, 522 nt
Filed under: Salmo salar (Atlantic salmon)
Lineage: Eukaryota; Metazoa; Chordata; Actinopteri; Salmoniformes; Salmonidae
Description: lncRNA (ENSSSAG00000111845.1)
Source: RNAcentral
UUGAUUUGAAGUCAGUGCCAGUAGGGGGAACAGAGUCAAGUGUCAAAGUUAGUGCUAGUAGGGGGGAACAGAGUCAAAUGUCAAAGUCAGUGCUAGUGGGGGGAACAGAGUCAAGUGUCAAAGUCAGUGCUAGUAGGGGGGAACAGAGUCAGGUGUCGAAGUCAGUGCUAGUAGGGGGGGAACAGAGUCAAGUGUCAAAGUCAGUGCUAGUAGGGGGGAACAGAGUCAAGUGUCGAAGUCAGUGCUAGUAGGGGGGGAACAGAGUCAAGUGUCAAAGUCAGUGCUAGUAGGGGGGGAACAGAGUCAAGUGUCAAAGUCAGUGCUAUAGGGGGGAACAGAGUCAAGUGUCAAAGUCAGUGCUAGUAGUAGUAGUAAUAAGCUAGUAAUACUUAUUUCCCUCAUUAAAAUGCAAAUCAAUUUAUAACAUUUUUGACAUGCGUUUUUCUGGAUAUUUUUGUUGUUAUUCUGUCUCUCACUGUUCAAAUAAACCUACCAUUAAUAUUAUAGACUGAUCCUUUCUUU